This 65-nucleotide transfer RNA is filed under the name uncultured Faecalibacterium sp. It matches the Rfam family "tRNA". From Rfam's summary of the family: Transfer RNA (tRNA) molecules are approximately 80 nucleotides in length. Their secondary structure includes four short double-helical elements and three loops (D, anti-codon, and T loops). Further hydrogen bonds mediate the characteristic L-shaped molecular structure. tRNAs have two regions of fundamental functional importance: the anti-codon, which is responsible for specific mRNA codon recognition, and the 3' end, to which the tRNAs corresponding amino acid is attached (by aminoacyl-tRNA synthetases). tRNAs cope with the degeneracy of the genetic code in two manners: having more than one tRNA (with a specific anti-codon) for a particular amino acid; and 'wobble' base-pairing, i.e. permitting non-standard base-pairing at the 3rd anti-codon position. The record is from RNAcentral. Lineage: Bacteria; Bacillati; Bacillota; Clostridia; Eubacteriales; Oscillospiraceae.
GGCGUAGCCAAGCGGUAAGGCAUCGGAUUUUGAUUCCGUUUACCGGUGGUUCGAAUCCAUCCGCC